This 253-nucleotide ribosomal RNA is filed under the name uncultured bacterium. RNAcentral describes it as "partial 16S ribosomal RNA". It matches the Rfam family "Bacterial small subunit ribosomal RNA", at positions 524 to 776 of the family's 1533-position model. The record is from RNAcentral.
GACGGAGGAUGCAAGUGUUAUCCGGAAUCACUGGGCGUAAAGCGUCUGUAGGUGGUUUAGAAAGUCUGCUGUUAAAGCUUGAAGCUUAACUUCAAAAAUGCAGUGGAAACUUCUAGACUCGAGUGUGGUAGGGGUAGAGGGAAUUUCCGGUGGAGCGGUGAAAUGCGUAGAGAUCGGAAAGAACACCAACGGCGAAAGCACUCUGCUGGGCCGACACUGACACUGAGAGACGAAAGCUAGGGGAGCGAAUGGG